Molecule: non-coding RNA, 22 nt
Filed under: Arabidopsis thaliana (thale cress)
Lineage: Eukaryota; Viridiplantae; Streptophyta; Magnoliopsida; Brassicales; Brassicaceae
Source: RNAcentral
UCUCUGGAAAUAGCGAAUGGCG